This 253-nucleotide ribosomal RNA is filed under the name uncultured bacterium. Its description in RNAcentral is "partial 16S ribosomal RNA". It matches the Rfam family "Bacterial small subunit ribosomal RNA", at positions 524 to 776 of the family's 1533-position model. The record is from RNAcentral.
UACGGAGGGUGCGAGCGUUGUCCGGAAUCAUUGGGCGUAAAGGGCGCGUAGGCGGCUUGGUAAGUCGGGGGUGAAAGUCAGCGGCUCAACCGCUGGACUGCCUUCGAGACUGCCUGGCUUGAGCAUGGUAGAGGCUGGCGGAAUUCCCGGUGUAGCGGUGGAAUGCGUAGAGAUCGGGAAGAACAUCGGUGGCGAAGGCGGCCAGCUGGGCCAUUGCUGACGCUGAUGCGCGACAGCGUGGGGAGCAAACAGG